UUGCUCACUUCAGCAGUAAAUAUACUAAAAUUGGAAUGAUACAGAGAAGAUUAGCAUGGCCCUUGUGCAAGGAUGACACGCAAAUUCGUGAAGCAUUUUU
Small nuclear RNA from Nomascus leucogenys (northern white-cheeked gibbon), 100 nucleotides. The record is from Ensembl. Lineage: Eukaryota; Metazoa; Chordata; Mammalia; Primates; Hylobatidae.